Long non-coding RNA from Aquila chrysaetos chrysaetos, 871 nucleotides. RefSeq lists it as uncharacterized. The record is from RefSeq and is a predicted model, not a curated record. Lineage: Eukaryota; Metazoa; Chordata; Aves; Accipitriformes; Accipitridae. The transcript has 3 exons.
UGAUACAGAGAAGGAAGAACAAAUGAAAAACUAUGGGUAAUGAAAAACAGUACUUCCAGAUGAAGAAAAUAGUAUCAGAAUUAACAUGUGCAAGGCAGACUCUGGCUCCAACAGCCACCAAGCGCUUAGCCCUUCUGGAGCUGGAGUGUGGUGGUGUGAUAUCCUCCCUUGUGCCUUGUCGGUGUGACAGUGUGUGUAGUCAGCCUAGCAAACAAGACAGCUGAAUUUCCCACCUGUGCUGCAGAGUCUCUGAAGAAGGACCUCACAGGUGAAGGUAAGCACUGGUGGUGCAGGCUGUGGCGUGGCCCUGUAGCUGUCCCAGCAGCAGUGCUCGCGAGCAGAUCAGCCCAGACCUCCUCAUUGCACAUACUGCUGGACACGUGAGGAGGAUCCUCUGCUAGCUUAACUAGGUUACUCUCUCAGUGCCUCGGAGCGUGCAUAAAUAAUUGACAGUGGACAGUCAGGGUUUUUGGCCUCAGGCAGUGUACAGUCUAAUAAGGUGAUACAGCUGAGAUCACAGAACCUGUAUCACAAAACACAGUUUCAGGUAUACUCUGUACCUUCCAUGCCAAGACAUGAUCAUUAUAUGAAAAUCCAUGGACGCAAUUAUCACAAAAAGUUUUCCUGAGCUGUAACUGCAUCCAGUAGUCCAUGUAGACAAAUAUUUAAUAAAAAAAUAUUUUUCCACAAAGAGGCACACCCCAUCAAAAGGUAAGGCAAACUGUACCUCACAGAACUGGGCAAUGGCUAUGUAAUCAUUGCUUGAAUCCAGACGGUCUUUAUCAGCUUUAAAAUGUGUCUGUGAUCUCUCUUUAUAAGCAUAUAGAUCUCAGCAGGUGUUUUGCCUGAAGGGUUGUACAGCAUCGGGCCU